RNAcentral lists this ribosomal RNA (398 nucleotides) under uncultured bacterium. Its description in RNAcentral is "bacterial SSU rRNA". It matches the Rfam family "Bacterial small subunit ribosomal RNA", at positions 358 to 773 of the family's 1533-position model. The record is from RNAcentral.
GGAAUUUUGGGCAAUGGGCGAAAGCCUGACCCAGCAACGCCGCGUGAAGGAUGAAGUUUUUCGGAGUGUAAACUUCGUAAGAAUGGGAAGAAUAAAUGACGGUACCAUUUGUAGGGUACGGCUAACUACGUGCCAGCAGCCGCGGUAAUACGUAGGGACCAAGCGUUGUUCGGAUUUACUGGGCGUAAAGGGUGCGUAGGCGGCGUGUCAAGUCAGAUGUGAAAUCUUGAGGCUUAACCUCAAGCGGUCAGCUGAUACUGUCAUGCUAGAGUGCAGAAGGGGCAAUCGGAAUUCUUGGUGUAGCGGUGAAAUGCGUAGAUAUCAAGAGGAACACCUGAGGCGAAGGCGGGUUGCUAGGCUGACACUGACGCUGAGGCACGAAAGCUAGGGGAGCGAAC